GCCGGGGUGGCGAAAUCGGUAGACGCCGCAGACUUAAAAUCUGCUGUCGCGCAAGCGGCGUACGGGUUCGAGUCCCGUCCCCGGCACCA
RNAcentral lists this transfer RNA (89 nucleotides) under Aquincola tertiaricarbonis. RNAcentral describes it as "tRNA-Leu". It matches the Rfam family "tRNA". From Rfam's summary of the family: Transfer RNA (tRNA) molecules are approximately 80 nucleotides in length. Their secondary structure includes four short double-helical elements and three loops (D, anti-codon, and T loops). RNAcentral also lists the same sequence under 1 other name. The record is from RNAcentral. Lineage: Bacteria; Pseudomonadati; Pseudomonadota; Betaproteobacteria; Burkholderiales; Sphaerotilaceae.